Molecule: long non-coding RNA, 323 nt
Filed under: Coffea arabica (coffee)
Lineage: Eukaryota; Viridiplantae; Streptophyta; Magnoliopsida; Gentianales; Rubiaceae
Description: long non-coding RNA (CARA_LNC008320)
Source: RNAcentral
GUUUCCUUUACUAAGCUAUUUGGAGCACUUGUUGCAUGAUUGGACUGCCUUGAUUCUGAAUUUGACUACAUUUGGACCACAGGGGCUCAUUGAUUGCAUUUGUUAUUAGUGUUGAGGUAUUCGUAUAACCUGUGGGUGAUUGAAUUGUGCCUAUUGUUCAUUGGGUUGGUUUUAAACAAAAAAUUGUUAUUACUUUGAAAUUCCUGUUUCCAUUAUCUGUUGGCAAUUGUAGUCCCUUGUGAUUAGAGUGACAUCUAGAGAUCAUGGUAAGGCCAAGAUCCGCUUCUAGGUUUAGGACACCUAGACACUCGCAGCCUCCUCCU